Molecule: ribosomal RNA, 483 nt
Filed under: uncultured bacterium
Lineage: Bacteria
Description: partial 16S ribosomal RNA
Rfam family: Bacterial small subunit ribosomal RNA
Source: RNAcentral
GACGAACGCUGGCGGCGUGCUUAACACAUGCAAGUCGAACGAUGAAGCCGGAGCUUGCUCCGGUGGAUUAGUGGCGAACGGGUGAGUAACACGUGAGCAAUCUGCCCUUGACUCUGGGAUAACUGCGGGAAACUGUAGCUAAUACCGGAUACGACACCUUGGGGCAUCCCAGGGUGUGGAAAGAAUUUCGGUCAAGGAUGAGCUCGCGGCCUAUCAGCUAGUUGGUGAGGUAAUGGCUCACCAAGGCGACGACGGGUAGCCGGCCUGAGAGGGUGACCGGCCACACUGGAACUGAGACACGGUCCAGACUCCUACGGGAGGCAGCAGUGGGGAAUAUUGCACAAUGGGCGAAAGCCUGAUGCAGCAACGCCGCGUGAGGGAUGAAGGCCUUCGGGUUGUAAACCUCUUUCAAUAGGGACGAAGCGCAAGUGACGGUACCUAUAGAAGAAGCACCGGCCAACUACGUGCCAGCCGCCGCCGUAA